GACGAACGCUGGCGGCGUGCUUAACACAUGCAAGUCGAGCGGUAAGGCCCCUUCGGGGGUACACGAGCGGCGAACGGGUGAGUAACACGUGGGUGACCUGCCCUCAGCUCUGGGAUAAGCCUGGGAAACGUGGGUCUAAUACCGGAUAUGACUCCAUGACGCAUGUCGUGGGGUGGAAAGCCUUGUGCGGCUGGGGAUGGGCCCGCGGCCUAUCAGCUUGUUGGUGGGGUGAUGGCCUACCAAGGCGACGACGGGUAGCCGGCCUGAGAGGGCGACCGGCCACACUGGGACUGAGACACGGCCCAGACUCCUACGGGAGGCAGCAGUGGGGAAUCUUGCGCAAUGGGCGAAAGCCUGACGCAGCGACGCCGCGUGAGGGAUGACGGCCUGG
Molecule: ribosomal RNA, 391 nt
Filed under: uncultured bacterium
Lineage: Bacteria
Description: bacterial SSU rRNA
Rfam family: Bacterial small subunit ribosomal RNA
Source: RNAcentral